AUUGCCUCAGUAACGGCGAGUGAAGCGGCAACAGCUCAAAUUUGAAAUCUGGCCUUCGGGUCCGAGUUGUAAUUUGUAGAGGAUGUUUUUGGCGCAGUGCUUCCGAGUUCCCUGGAACGGGACGCCUUAGAGGGUGAGAGCCCCGUACGGUUAGACACUAAGCCUCUGUAAAGCUCCUUCAACGAGUCGAGUAGUUUGGGAAUGCUGCUCUAAAUGGGAGGUAAAUUUCUUCUAAAGCUAAAUAUUGGCCAGAGACCGAUAGCGCACAAGUAGAGUGAUCGAAAGAUGAAAAGCACUUUGAAAAGAGGGUUAAAUAGCACGUGAAAUUGUUGAAAGGGAAGCGUUUGCGACCAGACUUUUUCCUGGCGGAUCAUCCGGUGUUAUCACCGGUGCACUUUGCUAGGUGAAGGCCAGCAUCGGUUUCCGUAGGGGGAUAAAAGCUUAGGGAAUGUAGCUCCUUCGGGAGUGUUAUAGCCCUCUGCAUAAUACCUUUAUGGGGACCGAGGACCGCGCUUCUGCAAGGAUGCUGGCGUAAUGGUUGUCAACGACCCGUCUUGAAACACGGACCAAGGAGUCGAACAUUUGUGCGAGUGUUUGGGUGUUAAACCCUCACGCGUAAUGAAAGUGAACGGAGGUGAGAGCCCUUCGGGGUGCAUCAUCGACCGAUCCUGAUGUCUUCGGAUGGAUUUGAGUAAGAGCAUAACUGUUCGGACCCGAAAGAUGGUGAACUAUGCGUGGAUAGGGUGAAGCCAGAGGAAACUCUGGUGGAGGCUCGCAGCGGUUCUGACGUGCAAAUCGAUCGUCAAAUCUGCGCAUGGGGGCGAAAGACUUAUCGAACCAUCUA
RNAcentral lists this ribosomal RNA (844 nucleotides) under Halorosellinia xylocarpi. RNAcentral describes it as "partial large subunit ribosomal RNA". It matches the Rfam family "Eukaryotic large subunit ribosomal RNA", at positions 74 to 946 of the family's 3401-position model. Lineage: Eukaryota; Fungi; Ascomycota; Sordariomycetes; Xylariales; Xylariaceae. The record is from RNAcentral.